This 467-nucleotide ribosomal RNA is filed under the name uncultured bacterium. Its description in RNAcentral is "partial 16S ribosomal RNA". It matches the Rfam family "Bacterial small subunit ribosomal RNA", at positions 28 to 507 of the family's 1533-position model. The record is from RNAcentral.
GACGAACGCUGGCGGCGUGCUUAACACAUGCAAGUCGAACGGAAAGGCCUCUUUCGGGGGGUACUCGAGUGGCGAACGGGUGAGUAACACGUGAGUAACCUGCCCUUGACUUUGGGAUAACUUCAGGAAACUGGGGCUAAUACCGGAUAGGAGCUCCUGCUGCAUGGUGGGGGUUGGAAAGUUUCGGCGGUUGGGGUUGGACUCGCGGCUUAUCAGCUUGUUGGUGGGGUAUUGGCUUACCAAGGCUUUGACGGGUAGCCGGCCUGAGAGGGUGACCGGCAACAUUGAGACUGAGAUACAGCCCAGACUCCUACGGGAGGCAGCAGUGGGGAAUAUUGCACAAUGGGUGGGAGCCUGAUGCAGCAACGCCGUGUGCGGGAUGACGGCCUUCGGGUUGUAAACCGCUUUCGCUCAUGACGAAGCUUUGUGUGACGGUAGUGGGUAAAGAAGCACCGGCUAACUACGUG